This 546-nucleotide ribosomal RNA is filed under the name uncultured archaeon. RNAcentral's name for it is "bacterial SSU rRNA". It matches the Rfam family "Archaeal small subunit ribosomal RNA", at positions 457 to 997 of the family's 1478-position model. The record is from RNAcentral.
GCCAGCCGCCGCGGUAAACACCGGCGGCCCGAGUGGUGAUCGUGAUUAUUGGGUCUAAAGGGUCCGUAGCCGGUUUGGUCAGUCCUCCGGGAAAUCUGAUAGCUCAACUAUUAGGCUUUCGGGGGAUACUGCCAGACUUGGAACCGGGAGAGGUAAGAGGUACUACAGGGGUAGGAGUGAAAUCUUGUAAUCCCUGUGGGACCACCUGUGGCGAAGGCGUCUUACCAGAACGGGUUCGACGGUGAGGGACGAAAGCUGGGGGGCACGAACCGGAUUAGAUACCCGGGUAGUCCCAGCCGUAAACGAUGCUCGCUAGGUGUCAGGCAUGGCGCGACCGUGUCUGGUGCCGCAGGGAAGCCGUGAAGCGAGCCACCUGGGAAGUACGGCCGCAAGGCUGAAACUUAAAGGAAUUGGCGGGGGAGCACAACAACGGGUGGAGCCCUGCGGUUUAAUUGGACUCAACGCCGGACAACUCACCGGGGGCGACAGCAAUAUGUAGGCCAAGCUGAAGACUUUGCCUGAAUCGCUGAGAGAGGUGGUGCAUGG